RNA transcript from Brassica rapa (field mustard), 3034 nucleotides. It is a transcript of the gene named ataxin-3 homolog, with no coding region annotated. NCBI's taxonomy places the organism in Eukaryota, Viridiplantae, Streptophyta, Magnoliopsida, Brassicales, Brassicaceae. The record is from RefSeq and is a predicted model, not a curated record.
AAAUUUAUUCAAAUUUUGGAUUUUCUUGGAUUUACUCAAAUCUUUGAUUUAAUAAUCCCCCUUCUAUGCUCUAAUUCUCUUGAAGUCAAUUAUUUUUUCCACAUGGCACACAUUAACAUGUAUAAUGUAGUCAUGUCAGAGAAGUUUCCUAAGAUAAUACUAAUUUUUUUUAUCAUAAAUAUAACACACAAAUGUCAAAAUGAUCAAAAUAUUUUAUUAAAAAUGUAAAUAUACAUGUAUACUCAUAUAUGUCUCCGUGAGUUUGGGAGAUGAAGUUUAUGAUUUUUUAAAAUAAAUAAAUAUUUAAAAUUUAAAUUAUUAUUUUUUAAAUAGUUUUAAACAGUUUUCAGAUUUUUUUAAAAAAAAAAUUGAAAAGGAAAAAUUUAUAACAAGUUCAAAUUCAGAAAUGCAUUAUUAAUAAUUUUUAAUUAUUUAUCUAAAUAAUUAAUUAUGUUUAUAUUUAUAUGUAUAUAAUGAAACUUAUUUUAGUCUUUUUUGUGGGUUCUUUUGGUAAAACAAUAAUUAUUUUAGUGUCUUUGAGGUAAUUAUCCUUUGUGUCACUUGUUCCGAAUGGUAACAUCGGGUAGAGUGGUGCGAGACAAACGUAUUAGAUACUGCAGUAUGGUUUAGCUGCGGUUUGUAUAAGAGAAACGCAAGCUGCGGAACAAUUGCGGUUCGUCAAAGAAAGCGGUUAAAAACUAGAGAAAUUUCCUAGGAUAACAUUUUUUAAAUUUUUCUCACAAAAAUAGCUUUCAAUAAAAAAAAAAAGAUCAAAAUAAGUUUUAUUAAAAGGUGAAAAUGUACUUUUACCCUAUGAUUAACUAAUCUAAGGGCCGAGUUUUGGGGAUAGAGUUUCAAAUAAAAAAAAAAAAUUUUAAAAAAUUUAAAAAUAAAAAAAAAGACUAUUUUGAUUAUUUUUUUUCUUGAAAGCUAUUUUGUGAAAAAAACUUGAAAAUGACUAUUCUAGAAAAUUGUCCUAAAAACUAUGAAUAUAUACAAGUUUUUACAAAAAAAGAACGAUGAAAUAUACAAUAAAUAGGUAACUGCUGGAUACAUUGUAAAUUAUUUGCAAAUGUUGGAAAAUUGUAAAAACAAAAUGAAAACUCAUAUGACAGGAAAGAAGGAUAACGAAAGGGAAAAUAAAUAUUCUGUUUCUAACCUCCGAUCUCCUCAUUGCUUCCUCUUUCUCCUUCUUAGCCUCUCGCUUCCUAAUUGCUUCAAGGCAAAGACUCUCGCAUCGCUUCAUUAAUAUAAUAUUCGUCAGGGAAGCAGAAGAGGAAUCUUAUGGAGCGAACGAGCAACGGAGGAAUGUUGUACCACGAGGUUCAGGAAGCUAAUCUUUGCGCCGUUCACUGCGUCAACACCGUCCUCCAGGGACCCUUCUUCUCCGAGUUUGAUUUGGCCGCCGUCGCUUCCGAUCUCGACGAGAAGGAGCGUCAGGUCAUGCUCGAAGGCGCCGCCGCCGCCGAUUUCUUCUCGGAGGAGUCUCACAAUGUCUCCCUCGGCGGCGAUUUCAGUAUCCAGGUCUUGCAGAAGGCUUUGGAAGUGUGGGAUUUACAAGUGAUUCCACUCAACUGUCCCGAUGCAGAGCCUGCGCAGAUCGACCCCGAGCUUGAGAACGCCUUCAUCUGCCACUUGCAUGACCAUUGGUUUUGCAUAAGGAAAGUGAGCGGCGAAUGGUAUAACUUCGACAGCCUCCUCGCUGCACCCCAACACCUAUCGAAGUUCUACCUUUCUGCGUUUCUUGACUCUCUGAAAGGCUCGGGAUGGAGUAUCUUCAUAGUGAAAGGAAGCUUCCCUCGGGAGUGUCCCAUGUCGUCUUCUUCUGAGGCUUCCAACGGUUUUGGACAGUGGCUUUGUCCUGAAGACGCAGAGAGAAUACUAAAGGAGACAAGCUCGACGCAGAGUUCUUCUUCUUCUUCUGCUGUAAACAACAGAAGUAGUGACAAUGUUGAUCAGCAAAGACCGUAUCAGGCGUUGUCGCGUGAGGAAGUGAGGACUUUUUCAGAGAUGGAAGAUGAUGAUUUGAAGGCAGCGAUUGCAGCGAGUUUGUUAGAUGCUUCUGCGGCUGGGGCUAAUCUUGGAGCUGUUGGGAUUACUUCUCAGAGGGAGGAAACUGAGAAACAAAAGUAGCAGAGAAAACAGAGUACAAUGCUGUAUUGAUGAAGAGUGAAAUACAAAUAUCUUGGUAACAGUUGAGAUCUGAGAAAAUCUGAAUCCAAGGUUGCUGAUCGUUCUUCUCAAAUGGGUUCUUCUUUGGAAAAGUUGUUCAACAGAUAGAGGACUUGUACAUGAGAGUCUGGGAGGUGGCAAUGUUUCAGAUGUGAUGCUGUGGAGGAAGAAGAAUAUGAGUGUUGGUAUAGUGACGGUAACAAUAGGAUCAUGGAUGGUGUUUGAGACAUUUUCUUACACCAUCCUCACUCUUCUUUCAAGUGUUCUUCUCCUCUUGCUCUCUAUUCUCUUCCUCUGGUCCAAAUCUGCAUCUAUCCUCAACAGGCCAUUACCGCCACCAUUUCCGGAGUUUCAUAUAACUGAAGCAAUGGCUAAAGAAGCGUCCAAGUUGUUACGCAUCCAUUUGAAUAAACUGUUUCAAGUCUCGCAUGACAUUGCAAUGGGAAGAGACUCAGAGUUGUUUAUCAAAGUAGCCAUCUCUCUGUUUCUCAUCUCAUUCAUCGGAAGCCUCAUGGAUUUUCAAACACUUUGCCAUACCGGGGUUUAGUGGUUAUUGACAGUUCCUACUUUCUAUGAGAGAUACGAGGUUUACAUAGAUAUAUCACUAUUGCUCAUCUACAACAGAGCUAAAGAGCUUUACCUUAGGUUCCAGAUAUGGGCUCAUCCGGAAAAUGAGAAACUAAGCUGAAACUCUCAUGUAAAUAUUGAUAUAUGUUUGAAUGGUACAGCCAAAAUAUGAGCUACCCACAGAAAUUUUAUUUCAAAGUUUUACUCUGUUCCAAGAACAGUGUUAGAUGAAGUUCUGGACGAUGCUAGUCCUCUCUCGACCACCGAAGUUAAGAAGAAAACAUUGGUGCUCUUA